Molecule: ribosomal RNA, 426 nt
Filed under: uncultured bacterium
Lineage: Bacteria
Description: partial 16S ribosomal RNA
Rfam family: Bacterial small subunit ribosomal RNA
Source: RNAcentral
GUGAGGAAUUUUCCGCAAUGGGCGGAAGCCUGACGGAGCAAUGCCGCGUGAAGGAUGAAGGCCUAUGGGUUGUAAACUUCUUUUCUCAGAAAAGAAUUAUGACGGUAUCUGAGGAAUAAGCAUCGGCUAACUCUGUGCCAGCAGCAGCGGUAAGACAGAGGAUGCAAGCGUUAUCCGGAAUGAUUGGGCGUAAAGCGUCUGUAGGUUGUUUAAAAAGUAUUCUGUCAAAGAUUAGGGCUUAACCCUAGAUAGGCAGAAUAAACUUUUAAGCUAGAGUUUGGUAGAGGCAGAGGGAAUUCCCGGUGGAGCGGUGAAAUGCGUAGAUAUCGGGAGGAACACCAAAGGCGAAGGCACUCUGCUGGGCCAAUACUAACACUGAGAGACGAAAGCGAGGGGAGCAAAUGGGAUUAGAUACCCGUGUAGUCC